ACUGAGUGGCGGACGGGUGAGUAACGCGUGGGUAACCUGCCCCAUAGAGGGGGACGACAGUUGGAAACGACUGCUAAUACCGCAUAGUAAGGAACUGCCGCAUGACGGUUUCUUGAAAGAUUUAUCGCUAUGGGAUGGACCCGCGUCUGAUUAGCUAGUUGGUAAGGUAACGGCUUACCAAGGCGACGAUCAGUAGCCGGCUUGAGAGAGUGAACGGCCACAUUGGGACUGAGACACGGCCCAAACUCCUACGGGAGGCAGCAGUGGGGAAUAUUGCACAAUGGGGGAAACCCUGAUGCAGCGACGCCGCGUGAGUGAAGAAGUAUUUCGGUAUGUAAAGCUCUAUCAGCAGGGAAGAUAAUGACGGUACCUGACUAAGAAGCCCCGGCUAACUACGUGCCAGCAGCCGCGGUAAUACGUAGGGGGCAAGCGUUAUCCGGAUUUACUGGGUGUAAAGGGUGCGCAGGUGGCAGGGCAAGUCAGAUGUGAAAGCCCGGGGCUCAACCCCGGUAUUGCAUUUGAAACUGUCCGGCUAGAGUGCANGAGAGGUAAGCGGAAUUCCUAGUGUAGCG
RNAcentral lists this ribosomal RNA (572 nucleotides) under uncultured bacterium. Its description in RNAcentral is "bacterial SSU rRNA". It matches the Rfam family "Bacterial small subunit ribosomal RNA", at positions 90 to 680 of the family's 1533-position model. The record is from RNAcentral.